ACUGGGUGUAGAGCUUAGUUGACUGCUGAACAGGGAGUCUUGAAUAUUUGUUCACAGUGGCUAAGUUCGUCACUCAUA
Oreochromis niloticus (Nile tilapia) is the source of this 78-nucleotide non-coding RNA. The record is from Rfam. NCBI's taxonomy places the organism in Eukaryota, Metazoa, Chordata, Actinopteri, Cichliformes, Cichlidae.